RNAcentral lists this ribosomal RNA (492 nucleotides) under uncultured bacterium. Its description in RNAcentral is "partial 16S ribosomal RNA". It matches the Rfam family "Bacterial small subunit ribosomal RNA", at positions 29 to 507 of the family's 1533-position model. The record is from RNAcentral.
AGUGAACGCUGGCGGUAGGCCUAACACAUGCAGGUCGAACGGCAGCACAGUAAGAGCUUGCUCUUACGGGUGGCGAGUGGCGGACGGGUGAGGAAUACAUCGGAAUCUACUUUUUCGUGGGGGAUAACGUAGGGAAACUUACGCUAAUACCGCAUACGACCUACGGGUGAAAGCAGGGGAUCUUCGGACCUUGCGCGAUUGAAUGAGCCGAUGUCGGAUUAGCUAGUUGGCGGGGUAAAGGCCCACCAAGGCGACGAUCCGUAGCUGGUCUGAGAGGAUGAUCAGCCACACUGGAACUGAGACACGGUCCAGACUCCUACGGGAGGCAGCAGUGGGGAAUAUUGGACGAUGGGCGCAAGCCUGAUCCAGCCAUACCGCGUGGGUGAAGAAGGACUUCGGGUUGUAAAGCCCUUUUGUUGGGAAAGAAAAGCAGCAGGUUAAUACCCCGCUGUUCUGACGGUACCCAAAGAAUAAGCACCGGCUAACUUCGUG